AUGCCUUUAACAAUUAAAUGUGUAAUUAGCAAACACAUGUACAAAUACAUACAGGUACACAUACUGUACAAAUACAUACAGGUACACAUACUGUACAAAUACAUACAGGUACACAUACUGUACAAAUACAUACAGGUACACAUACUGUACAAAUACAUACAGGUACACAUACUGUACAAAUACAUACAGGUACAUAUACUGUACAAAUACAUACAGGUACACAUACUGUACAAAUACAUACAGGUACACAUACUGUACAAAUACAUACAGGUACACAUACUGUACAAAUACAUACAGGUACACAUACUGUACAAAUACAUACAGGUACACAUACUGUACAAAUACAUACAGGUACACAUACUGUACAAAUACAUACAGGUACACAUACUGUACAAAUACAUACAGGUACACAUACUGUACAAAUACAUACAGGUACACAUACUGUACAAAUACAUACAGGUACACAUACUGUACAAAUACAUACAGGUACACAUACUGUACAAAUACAUACAGGUACACAAACUGCUCAAAUACAUACAGGUACACAUACUGUACAAAUACAUACAGGUACACAUACUGUACAAAUACAUACAGGUACACAUACUGUACAAAUACAUACAGGUACACAUACUGUACAAAUACAUACAGGUACACAAACUGCUCAAAUACAUACAGGUACACAUACUGUACAAAUACAUACAGGUACACAUACUGUACAAAUACAUACAGGUACACAUACUGUACAAAUACAUACAGGUACACAAACUGCUCAAAUACAUACAGGUACACAUACUGUACAAAUACAUACAGGUACACAAACUGCUCAAAUACAUACAGGUACACAUACUGUACAAAUACAUACAGGUACACAAACUGCUCAAAUACAUACAGGUACACAUACUGCUCAAAUACAUACAGGUACAAAUACAUACAGGUACACAUACUGCUCAAAUACAUACAGGUACACAUACUGUACAAAUACAUACAGGUACAUAUACUGUACAAAUACAUACAGGUUCAUAUACUGUACAAAUACAUACAGGUUCAUAUACUGUACAAAUACAUACAGGUUCACAUACUGUACAAAUACAUACAGGUACAUAUACUGUACAAAUACAUACAGGUUCAUAUACUGUACAAAUACAUACAGGUUCAUAUACUGUACAAAUACAUACAGGUUCACAUACUGUACAAAUACAUACAGGUACAUAUACAUACAGGUUCAUAUACUGUACAAAUACAUACAGGUUCAUAUACUGUACAAAUACAUACAGGUACACAUACUGUACAAAUACAUACAGGUUCAUAUACUGUACAAAUACAUACAGGUUCAUAUACUGUACAAAUACAUACAGGUACACAUACUGUUCAUCUAUAUAG
RNAcentral lists this long non-coding RNA (1380 nucleotides) under Oncorhynchus kisutch (coho salmon). Its description in RNAcentral is "lncRNA (ENSOKIG00005024448.1)". The record is from RNAcentral. Lineage: Eukaryota; Metazoa; Chordata; Actinopteri; Salmoniformes; Salmonidae.